CCUACGGGAGGCAGCAGUGAGGAAUAUUGGUCAAUGGACGAGAGUCUGAACCAGCCAAGUAGCGUGAAGGAUGACUGCCCUAUGGGUUGUAAACUUCUUUUAUAUGGGAAUAAAAUGUUCCACGUGUGGGAUUUUGUAUGUACCAUAUGAAUAAGGAUCGGCUAACUCCGUGCCAGCAGCCGCGGUAAUACGGAGGAUCCGAGCGUUAUCCGGAUUUAUUGGGUUUAAAGGGAGCGUAGGUGGAUUGUUAAGUCAGUUGUGAAAGUUUGCGGCUCAACCGUAAAGUUGCAGUUGAAACUGGCAGUCGUGAGUACAGUAGAGGUGGGCGGAAUUCGUGGUGUAGCGGUGAAAUGCUUAGAUAUCACGAAGAACUCCGAUUGCGAAGGCAGCUCACUGGACUGCAACUGACACUGAGGCUCGAAAGUGUGGGUAUCAAACAGGAUUAGAUACCCCUGUAGUC
RNAcentral lists this ribosomal RNA (460 nucleotides) under uncultured bacterium. RNAcentral describes it as "partial 16S ribosomal RNA". It matches the Rfam family "Bacterial small subunit ribosomal RNA", at positions 338 to 795 of the family's 1533-position model. The record is from RNAcentral.